AAAAAAAGCUGAGUAGGGACUAUGAAAUGUAAACAUUAGAUAAGAAAAAUAUAAAAAUAAGUUUGUUUGAAUAAUUGGAAAGGGCUACAUGGUGAUACAGUGCUAAAGUUCUAAAAUGGAGGAAGAAACAAAGACCCUUUCAGAACUUUAAUAUCUUCAAAGGUUAUUAAAAGAGAUGAAUCACAUAAUAGAGGACUGGGUGUGUAAUAGUUCUCUUCUAUGAUUUUUAAGAAAGGAAAGAGAAGGGAGUGUUAGAGGAGGAAUAUUCAAGUACAGAAAAGAACUAGAGAGUAAAACUUGCUAUUUCUAAUUAUUGGGUUGGUGUGCAUCUUAAAAUUUCUCAGACUCUACCUUGGAACAUUUGGUUAAGGCUAUUCCCCAUUUUAAACAAGGUACUUGGUCAGGAAUGUAUUGGGAACUUUAACAUUACUCCACCCAUACUUAGGCAUACUUUAGGGGAAGAUAAAGUUGUAAACUCCUGAUGGAACAAUGAGAAAAAGUCCCCAACCCAUACUUAUAGUAAAGCUAGAACCUUAAGCUAGGUCUAUUUUUAGAUCUAAUACAAAAGGGUGCUAAGUACCUAUGAAGGUCAAAUUAAUCACUGAAAAGUCAAGCAACUUACAAAGGGCAAGCUUAGCAAGAGGUGUGAAGUUUUAGUCUACUUAGGUAAGGUGAUUAACAAACGAAGAUGUGAAUUAAGAAUGGUCAGUCCUGUGGAAAACAUCUACUGUGAUUGGUAGAUGUGAAAAUUUAGGGGAGGUGACAUAAGAGAAAUUUCUCUUUAAAAGGAGCUGGCUCUCUCAACUUAGGAAGAGUUCGUGAGUUGGAUCUCGGACUAGUUGGAGUAGCUGGGCCUCUGAACUUAGUUGGAGUUUUGCUUGGGACAAAAUCUUGUGGUGGAGGCUGAAAGACCUCACAUCCAGCUCAGACCUUGACUAGAGCAGAUGUUUCUCAGAGGCUGUUUCUACAGGACAUUUGGGCAGAGUCCAGCCUGGAAACAAAGUAUUAAUAGGUCACCAUCUCCUGAUUUAGAUGAUCAGGAUUUGUCAUUCACCUGGAAGGUAGAGCAGUGGAGCCUUCACCUGAGGGGGGUUUGGAACUCCAGAAUGACAGCCACAGCUUCUCAAUGUAGUGAAACUGAAGAUUCAUUACAACAUCCAAAGUUGCCUAAGAAUAAAGACAACUUUUUAAAAUA
Non-coding RNA from Monodelphis domestica (gray short-tailed opossum), 1195 nucleotides. The record is from RefSeq and is a predicted model, not a curated record. NCBI's taxonomy places the organism in Eukaryota, Metazoa, Chordata, Mammalia, Didelphimorphia, Didelphidae.